GCACAAGCUUUCCUAUUUCUGGGAAACCUUUAUAAUUUCGGCUGUGACUCAUCAGGACGCGUCCGAUUGGUCAACAGCCAAAGUGGGCGUGGCUAAAGAUCACUGUAACACUCUACCCGAGUUUUACCCGACCAUAGAUGUCAUUUUCCUUCACGAUCACUGGUCGUGUGUAGACACAUCAGCGAGAUGACAAGGAAACACCGUAAUUAUAAGAGGAUGUCGUCGAUAGUACGCAGAGCCACCAGUUCUACAGUUAAAAAUCCCAGCGUGGCUGCUCUUGGCCUGGGGCUGAUAACUCUGCUCGUGAUUAUAAAGCUUCUAUAGCAGACGAAGGACGGGCGCUUUUUCCUAUGCAAAGUUCCCACGAUCACCGUCGACCCCACUCCUGUUCAUGGCUGUUGAAGAAAAGCCACGAGAGCAGACAAACACCUGCCCUGGAGCCCAGAGUCACCGCGGGACUUAUAGCUUAUAGUCGGGCCCGCAAAGCGACUGGACGACGGAGUUUCACAGCCUGUCCUACACAACGCACUCCCCCCC
Molecule: long non-coding RNA, 537 nt
Organism: Branchiostoma belcheri (Belcher's lancelet)
Lineage: Eukaryota; Metazoa; Chordata; Leptocardii; Amphioxiformes; Branchiostomatidae
Exons: 2
Source: RefSeq, a predicted model, not a curated record